UACAGAGGGUGCAAGCGUUGUUCGGAAUUACUGGGCGUAAAGCGUGCGUAGGUUGUAUUGAGAGUCACGGGUGAAAUCCCCAAGCUUAACUUGGGAACUGCCUGUGAGACCUCAGUACUGGAGUGUGAGAGAGGAUAGUGGAAUUCCUGGUGUAGCGGUGAAAUGCGUAGAGAUCAGGAGGAACACCGGUGGCGAAGGCGGCUAUCUGGCUCAUAACUGACACUGAGGCACGAAAGCGUGGGUAGCAAACAGG
RNAcentral lists this ribosomal RNA (253 nucleotides) under uncultured bacterium. Its description in RNAcentral is "partial 16S ribosomal RNA". It matches the Rfam family "Bacterial small subunit ribosomal RNA", at positions 524 to 776 of the family's 1533-position model. The record is from RNAcentral.